GACGAACGCUGGCGGCGUGCCUAAAACAUGCAAGUCGAACGAGACCUUCGGGUCUAGUGGCGAACGGCGGAGUAAUACAUAAGCAACGUGCCCCAAAGACUGGGAUAUACAGAGGAAACUCUGGGCAAUACCGGAUAUGACGGAGAGAUGGCAUCUUCUUUCCAUCAAAUGGUUUUUCGCUUUGGGAGCGGCUUAUGGCCUAUCAGGUAGUUGGUGAGGUAACGGCUCACCAAGCCGACGACGGGUAGCGGGUCUGAGAGGAUGAUCCGCUCGAGUGGGACUGAGACACGGCCCACACACCUACGGGUGGCAGCAGUUGGGAAUCUUGCACAAUGGGGGAAACCCUGAUGCAGCGACGCCGCGUGGAGGAUGACGGAUUUAGGUCUGUAAACUCCUUUUAUCAGGAAAGACUUAGGACGGUACCUGAUGAAUAAGCCCCGGCUAACUACGUG
RNAcentral lists this ribosomal RNA (452 nucleotides) under uncultured bacterium. Its description in RNAcentral is "bacterial SSU rRNA". It matches the Rfam family "Bacterial small subunit ribosomal RNA", at positions 28 to 507 of the family's 1533-position model. The record is from RNAcentral.